Molecule: ribosomal RNA, 245 nt
Filed under: uncultured Paenibacillus sp.
Lineage: Bacteria; Bacillati; Bacillota; Bacilli; Caryophanales; Paenibacillaceae
Description: partial 16S ribosomal RNA
Rfam family: Bacterial small subunit ribosomal RNA
Source: RNAcentral
UACGAAGGGUGCAAACGUUGCUCGGAAUUAUUGGGCGUAAAGCGCGCGCAGGCGGCUGUUUAAGUCUGGUGUAUAAUCCCGAGGCUCAACCUUGGGUCGCACUGGAAACUGGAGAGCUGGAGUGUAGGAGAGGAAAGUGGAAUUCCACGUGUAGCGGUGAAAUGCGUAGAGAUGUGGAGGAACACCAGUGGCGAAGGCGACUUUCUGGCCUAUAACUGACGCUGAGGCGCGAAAGCGUGGGGAGC